RNAcentral lists this ribosomal RNA (780 nucleotides) under Spathularia flavida. Its description in RNAcentral is "eukaryotic LSU rRNA". It matches the Rfam family "Eukaryotic large subunit ribosomal RNA", at positions 118 to 915 of the family's 3401-position model. Lineage: Eukaryota; Fungi; Ascomycota; Leotiomycetes; Rhytismatales; Cudoniaceae. The record is from RNAcentral.
AAAGCUGGCCCUUUCAGGGUCCGCGUUGUAAUUUGUAGAGGAUGCUUCGGGCGCGGCGCUGGUCUAAGUUCUUUGGAACAAGACGUCAUAGAGGGUGAGAAUCCCGUAUGUGACUAGCUGCCUGUGCCUGUGUGAAGCUCCUUCGACGAGUCGAGUUGUUUGGGAAUGCAGCUCAAAAUGGGUGGUGUACUUCAUCUAAAGCUAAAUAUUGGCCAGAGACCGAUAGCGCACAAGUAGAGUGAUCGAAAGAUGAAAAGCACUUUGGAAAGAGAGUUAAACAGUACGUGAAAUUGUUGAAAGGGAAGCGCUUGCAAUCAGACUUGCGCGGCGUCGAUCAGCCUGGGUUCUCCCUGGUGCACUCGGCGCUGCUCAGGCCAGCAUCAGUUUCAGCGGUUGGAUAAAGGCCUAGGGAACGUGGGUUACUUCGGUGACUGUUAUAGCCCUAGGUGCAAUGCAGCCUGUUGGGACUGAGGACCGCGCUUCGGCUAGGAUGCUGGCGUAAUGGUUGUAAGCGACCCGUCUUGAAACACGGACCAAGGAGUCUAACAUCUAUGCGAGUUUUUGGGUGUCAAACCCAUAAGCGUAAUGAAAGUGAACGGAGGUGAGAACCCUUAAGGGUGCAUCAUCGACCGAUCCUGAUGUCUUCGGAUGGAUUUGAGUAAGAGCAUAGCUGUUGGGACCCGAAAGAUGGUGAUCUAUACUUGAAUAGGGUGAAGCCAGAGGAAACUCUGGUGGAGGCUCGCAGCGGUUCUGACGUGCAAAUCGAUCGUCAAAUUUGGG